RNAcentral lists this small nucleolar RNA (121 nucleotides) under Echinops telfairi (small Madagascar hedgehog). RNAcentral describes it as "Small nucleolar RNA SNORA61 (ENSETEG00000025236.1)". Lineage: Eukaryota; Metazoa; Chordata; Mammalia; Afrosoricida; Tenrecidae. The record is from RNAcentral.
GUCCUCCAGAUUUCUUACCCCUCAGACCUAAGCACUGGUCCGAGUGACUAAAAAAAGGGGGGAAGUAAGACUGCCGUGGACCUGGAGUCUUUAGUGACAUUCAAGUUCAUUUCAAAUAGCU